GACGAAGUGGUUGAUGCCAUGCUUCCAAGAAAAGCUUCUAAGCUUCAGGUAACCAGGAACCGUACCCCAAACCGACACAGGUGGUCGGGUAGAGAAUACCAAGGCGCUUGAGAGAACUCGGGUGAAGGAACUAGGCAAAAUGGCACCGUAACUUCGGGAGAAGGUGCGCCGGCUAGGGUGAAGGAUUUACUCCGUAAGCUCUGGCUGGUCGAAGAUACCAGGCCGCUGCGACUGUUUAUUAAAAACACAGCACUCUGCAAACACGAAAGUGGACGUAUAGGGUGUGACGCCUGCCCGGUGCCGGAAGGUUAAUUGAUGGGGUUAGCGCAAGCGAAGCUCUUGAUCGAAGCCCCGGUAAACGGCGGCCGUAACAAUAACGGUCCUAAGGUAGCGAAAUUCCUUGUCGGGUAAGUUCCGACCUGCACGAAUGGCGUAACGAUGGCGGCGCUGUCUCCACCCGAGACUCAGUGAAAUUGAAAUCGCUGUGAAGAUGCAGUGUAUCCGCGGCUAGACGGAAAGACCCCGUGAACCUUUACUGUAGCUUUGCACUGGACUUUGAGCCUGCUUGUGUAGGAUAGGUGGGAGGCUUUGAAGCGUGGACGCCAGUUCGCGUGGAGCCAUCCUUGAAAUACCACCCUGGCAUGCUUGAGGUUCUAACUCUGGUCCGUAAUCCGGAUCGAGGACAGUGUAUGGUGGGCAGUUUGACUGGGGCGGUCUCCUCCUAAAGAGUAACGGAGGAGUACGAAGGUGCGCUCAGACCGGUCGGAAAUCGGUCGCAGAGUAUAAAGGCAAAAGCGCGCUUGACUGCGAGACAGACACGUCGAGCAGGUACGAAAGUAGGUCUUAGUGAUCCGGUGGUUCUGUAUGGAAGGGCCAUCGCUCAACGGAUAAAAGGUACUCCGGGGAUAACAGGCUGAUACCGCCCAAGAGUUCAUAUCGACGGCGGUGUUUGGCACCUCGAUGUCGGCUCAUCACAUCCUGGGGCUGAAGCCGGUCCCAAGGGUAUGGCUGUUCGCCAUUUAAAGUGGUACGCGAGCUGGGUUUAGAACGUCGUGAGACAGUUCGGUCCCUAUCUGCCGUGGACGUUUGAGAUUUGAGAGGGGCUGCUCCUAGUACGAGAGGACCGGAGUGGACGAACCUCUGGUGUUCCGGUUGUCACGCCAGUGGCAUUGCCGGGUAGCUAUGUUCGGAAAAGAUAACCGCUGAAAGCAUCUAAGCGGGAAACUUGCCUCAAGAUGAGAUCUCACUGGGAACUUGAUUCCCCUGAAGGGCCGUCGAAGACUACGACGUUGAUAGGCUGGGUGUGUAAGCGUUGUGAGGCGUUGAGCUAACCAGUACUAAUUGCC
This 1346-nucleotide ribosomal RNA is filed under the name metagenome. RNAcentral's name for it is "bacterial LSU rRNA". It matches the Rfam family "Bacterial large subunit ribosomal RNA", at positions 1584 to 2909 of the family's 2925-position model. The record is from RNAcentral.